CCGGUGCUUGCACCGGGGAUUAGUGGCGAACGGGUGAGUAACACGUGAGUAACCUGCCCUUGACUCUGGGAUAAGCCUGGGAAACCGGGUCUAAUACCGGAUACGACCUUUCACCGCAUGGUGGUUGGUGGAAAGAUUUUUUGGUUUUGGAUGGACUCGCGGCCUAUCAGCUUGUUGGUGAGGUAAUGGCUCACCAAGGCGACGACGGGUAGCCGGCCUGAGAGGGUGACCGGCCACACUGGGACUGAGACACGGCCCAGACUCCUACGGGAGGCAGCAGUGGGGAAUAUUGCACAAUGGGCGAAAGCCUGAUGCAGCGACGCCGCGUGAGGGAUGACGGCCUUCGGGUUGUAAACCUCUUUCAGCAGGGAAGAAGCGAAAGUGACGGUACCUGCAGAAGAAGCGCCGGCUAACUACGUGCCAGCAGCCGCGGUAAUACGUAGGGCGCAAGCGUUGUCCGGAAUUAUUGGGCGUAAAGAGCUCGUAGGCGGUUUGUCGCGUCUGCUGUGAAAGCCCGGGGCUCAACCCCGGGUCUGCAGUGGGUACGGGCAGACUAGAGUGCAGUAGGGGAGACUGGAAUUCCUGGUGUAGCGGUGAAAUGCGCAGAUAUCAGGAGGAACACCGAUGGCGAAGGCAGGUCUCUGGGCUGUAACUGACGCUGAGG
RNAcentral lists this ribosomal RNA (664 nucleotides) under Arthrobacter sp. sm460-5-1. RNAcentral describes it as "bacterial SSU rRNA". It matches the Rfam family "Bacterial small subunit ribosomal RNA", at positions 73 to 751 of the family's 1533-position model. Lineage: Bacteria; Bacillati; Actinomycetota; Actinomycetes; Micrococcales; Micrococcaceae. The record is from RNAcentral.